This 72-nucleotide transfer RNA is filed under the name Candidatus Kaiserbacteria bacterium CG10_big_fil_rev_8_21_14_0_10_56_12. RNAcentral's name for it is "tRNA-Trp". It matches the Rfam family "tRNA". From Rfam's summary of the family: Transfer RNA (tRNA) molecules are approximately 80 nucleotides in length. Their secondary structure includes four short double-helical elements and three loops (D, anti-codon, and T loops). The record is from RNAcentral. Lineage: Bacteria; Candidatus Kaiseribacteriota.
GGGUCUAUAGGCUCAAUGGUAAACCGCCGGUCUCCAAAACCGGUUUUGCAGGUUCGAAUCCUGCUGGACCCG